RNAcentral lists this ribosomal RNA (468 nucleotides) under uncultured bacterium. RNAcentral's name for it is "partial 16S ribosomal RNA". It matches the Rfam family "Bacterial small subunit ribosomal RNA", at positions 28 to 507 of the family's 1533-position model. The record is from RNAcentral.
GACGAACGCUGGCGGCGUGCUUAACACAUGCAAGUCGAACGGUGAUGCUCCAGCUUGCUGGAGUGGAUCAGUGGCGAACGGGUGAGUAACACGUGAGCAACCUGCCCCAGACUCUGGAAUAAGCGCUGGAAACGGCGUCUAAUACUGGAUACGAAACUGGCCCGCAUGGGCAUGGUUUGGAAAGUUUUUCGGUUUGGGAUGGGCUCGCGGCCUAUCAGCUUGUUGGUGAGGUAAUGGCUCACCAAGGCGACGACGGGUAGCCGGCCUGAGAGGGCGACCGGCCACACUGGGACUGAGACACGGCCCACACUCCUACGGGAGGCAGCAGUGGGGAAUAUUGCACAAUGGGCGAAAGCCUGAUGCAGCGACGCCGCGUGAGGGAUGACGGCCUUCGGGUUGUAAACCUCUUUCAGUAGGGAAGAAGCGAAAGUGACGGUACCUGCAGAAGAAGCACCGGCUAACUACGUG